UGCUACAAUGAUGACAUUUAUUUGCUACUCUUGACUGCAAGAAUGACGAUAGACUAAACCACCAUUAUUUUAACUGAGGCA
Marmota marmota marmota (Alpine marmot) is the source of this 81-nucleotide small nucleolar RNA. Its record names the gene SNORD24. It matches the Rfam family "Small nucleolar RNA SNORD24". From Rfam's summary of the family: U24 is a member of the C/D class of snoRNA which contain the C (UGAUGA) and D (CUGA) box motifs. C/D box snoRNAs have been shown to act as methylation guides for a number of RNA targets. U24 is encoded within an intron of the gene for ribosomal protein L7a in mammals, chicken and Fugu. The record is from Ensembl. Lineage: Eukaryota; Metazoa; Chordata; Mammalia; Rodentia; Sciuridae.